Molecule: long non-coding RNA, 491 nt
Filed under: Mytilus galloprovincialis (Mediterranean mussel)
Lineage: Eukaryota; Metazoa; Mollusca; Bivalvia; Mytilida; Mytilidae
Source: RNAcentral
CUAAAUUCUUGUAUGAUAAUGAACUAGGUGAAAACCUAGAGCUGACCGAGUGCGAGAUCCUCAUGGAUAAUCAUCGAGGUCGUUAAACACCCCUUGCAGUAAACUUUGGUUAAAUUUAAAAAAACAUCGAAAUGUAAUAGUCUGAACACAUUUCACCGCUCAUUCCACUGAAUAUUAAAUUGCAGUUACAAGUAUCACAAAACUUCCCUGACCUAUUUUCUUUAACCAUAAUAGAGGGAGGAGGGGAGGAGGGAUCCAGAUCCUGAAAUCCCGGGCUUAAAAACACGAAAUCCGGCGAGGUCCCAAAUUAAAAAAAAGUCAAAUCCCGACUACCCGAAAUUCGGAAAAAGAAUUCCCGGAUCCCGGAGUUCCGAUAAAGGUCCUACCCCCUCCCCCCCCCUCGUAAUUCUAUAUUCUAUUCAUUCUUAAUCUUGAAUUGAGACUUGAUACUUCAAAAUUACAUUCUCUAAUUUUGAAUGAUGCACACAGGC